Molecule: ribosomal RNA, 468 nt
Filed under: uncultured bacterium
Lineage: Bacteria
Description: partial 16S ribosomal RNA
Rfam family: Bacterial small subunit ribosomal RNA
Source: RNAcentral
GACGAACGCUGGCGGCGUGCUUAACACAUGCAAGUCGAACGGAAAGGCCCUGCUUUUGUGGGGUGCUCGAGUGGCGAACGGGUGAGUAACACGUGAGUAACCUGCCCUUGACUUUGGGAUAACUUCAGGAAACUGGGGCUAAUACCGGAUAGGAGCUCCUGCUGCAUGGUGGGGGUUGGAAAGUUUCGGCGGUUGGGGAUGGACUCGCGGCUUAUCAGCUUGUUGGUGGGGUAGUGGCUUACCAAGGCUUUGACGGGUAGCCGGCCUGAGAGGGUGACCGGCUACAUUGGGACUGAGAUACGGCCCAGACGCCUACGGGAGGCAGCAGUGGGGAAUAUUGCACAAUGGGCGGAAGCCUGAUGCAGCAACGCCGCGUGCGGGAUGACGGCCUUCGGGUUGUAAACCGCUUUCGCCUGUGACGAAGCGUGAGUGACGGUAAUGGGUAAAGAAGCACCGGCUAACUACGUG